UUGCCUCCAUUGAUGGAACUUGAACAAUUUGCUGUUAUCCUUUUGGUUUGCACUAGAAUGCAAAAGAAAAUACUCUCUGUCUGUCUUUGUGGUGGCACAGAUUGAAUAACGGAAUAUAUCU
RNAcentral lists this small nucleolar RNA (121 nucleotides) under Sciurus vulgaris (Eurasian red squirrel). RNAcentral's name for it is "Small nucleolar RNA SNORA31 (ENSSVLG00005001898.1)". It matches the Rfam family "Small nucleolar RNA SNORA31". From Rfam's summary of the family: ACA31 (SNORA31) belongs to the H/ACA class of snoRNAs which are thought to guide the sites of modification of uridines to pseudouridines. ACA31 is predicted to guide the pseudouridylation of U3713 in 28S rRNA and U218 in 18S rRNA. The record is from Rfam by way of RNAcentral. Lineage: Eukaryota; Metazoa; Chordata; Mammalia; Rodentia; Sciuridae.